This 556-nucleotide ribosomal RNA is filed under the name uncultured bacterium. Its description in RNAcentral is "partial 16S ribosomal RNA". It matches the Rfam family "Bacterial small subunit ribosomal RNA", at positions 355 to 900 of the family's 1533-position model. The record is from RNAcentral.
UAGGGAAUCUUCCACAAUGGACGCAAGUCUGAUGGAGCAACGCCGCGUGAGUGAAGAAGGUUUUCGGACCGUAAAGCUCUGUUGUUGGUGAAGAAGGAUAGAGGUAGUAACUGGCCUUUAUUUGACGGUAAUCAACCAGAAAGUCACGGCUAACUACGUGCCAGCAGCCGCGGUAAUACGUAGGUGGCAAGCGUUGUCCGGAUUUAUUGGGCGUAAAGCGAGCGCAGGCGGAAGAAUAAGUCUGAUGUGAAAGCCCUCGGCUUAACCGAGGAAUUGCAUCGGAAACUGUUUUCUUGAGUGCAGAAGAGGAGAGUAGAACUCCAUGUGUAGCGGUGGAAUGCGUAGAUAUAUGGAAGAAUACCAGUGGCGAAGGCGGCUCUCUGGUCUGCAAACUGACGCUGAGGCUCGAAAAGCAUGGGUAGCGAACAGGAUUAGAUACCCUGGUAGUCCAUGCCGUAAACGAUGAGUGCUAAGUGUUGGGAGGCUUCCGCCUCUCAGUGCUGCAGCUAACGCAUUAAGCACUCCGCCUGGGGGAGUACGACCGCAAGGUUGAAAC